UCAUGAAUGGAUAUUUCAUAUCUGCACCACAAAAAAUCAUACAAAAGAAUAGGAUCAAAUGAACAAAAGUAGGGUAAAAUUAAACUAAGAGCCGAAAGAAUACAUCUUAUAAUUUUUGUCCUGCACUUGCAUCCACAAAGAUGAGAACUUUUAGAGGAAUAGUAAUGAAAGUUCACACAAAGAUCUAAAUUACCUGAGUCAAUCUUUGUUGCCACUG
Molecule: unclassified non-coding RNA, 217 nt
Filed under: Hevea brasiliensis (rubber tree)
Lineage: Eukaryota; Viridiplantae; Streptophyta; Magnoliopsida; Malpighiales; Euphorbiaceae
Source: RNAcentral